Molecule: ribosomal RNA, 293 nt
Filed under: Lacunicambarus aff. polychromatus 271 MGG-2018
Lineage: Eukaryota; Metazoa; Arthropoda; Malacostraca; Decapoda; Cambaridae
Description: partial small subunit ribosomal RNA
Source: RNAcentral
UUAAAAKUUAUGUUCUUUAAAUUUAAAAAAUUUGGCGGUGUUUUAGUCUAGUUAGAGGAACCUGUGUUAUAAACGAUACAACACGCAUUAUUUUCACUUAUUUUAGUAGAUCAGCUUGUAUACCGUCAUUAUAANGAUAAUUUAAGAGAGAAUAUUAUUGAAAUCAUAUUAUUGAGUAUAUUAGAUCAAGGUGCAGCUUAUGGAUAAGUAAACAUGGGUUACAAUAAAAUUUAUUUAGUAUGAAUUAAGUGUUUAAAUAUGUUUAUGAAGGAGGAUUUAAUUGUAAGGGGGAG